This 928-nucleotide long non-coding RNA is filed under the name Homo sapiens (human). RNAcentral's name for it is "long non-coding RNA NONHSAT140577.2". The record is from RNAcentral. Lineage: Eukaryota; Metazoa; Chordata; Mammalia; Primates; Hominidae.
GGGACUACAGGCAUGCGCCACCACACCCAGCUAAUUUUUGUAUUUUUAACAGAGACAGGGUUUCACCAUCUUGGCCAGGCUGGUCCCAAAUUCCUCACCUCAAGUGAUCCUCCCGCCUCAGCCUCCCAACAUUUGUAUACUUUUUGAAGUCACACAUCUUCCUGAAAAGUGGAUAGAAGUUUUCAACCUUCUUCGCAGGAUGGAGGGCAGACACAGAACUUCAACACAGUGACAGGGGCUUCAAACGACUAAGUUCCGUCCAGGUACCCUUGGAGAUGUGUGCUGCUGCGUGGAAGAUGACUGAGCAUGAGACACGCAGUGCCCGACCGCGUGGAGCCUACGUCCUAGAGAGGAGGCACAGGAACACCAGACACGAGAACGGGAACUGAGUCACCAGCGGGGAAGACAGACCUUAUCCAAGUAGCUUCACUAAGAAACAGAACUGAUUAAAAGGGAAGAAAUGUGGUUGUCUUACGGCAAGUCACAAAAGAAUAUGAUGUGCUCUGGGGUAACCAAGGCAGGCUUCCCUGAGGAAGUGACCCCUGAACUGAGUGAUUCAGAGUUAAUGCAUCAUACAGCCCAGAAUCAGCAUGUGCAAACGUCCAGAAGAAACCUACAGCAAGACCAGCACAGCCCAACAGCCCCAGAGAGGAGCCCCACGUCCUUUAGGGUGAGCCCAGGGCUGACCUAAGGAGAUCCACAACAUGGCUGAAGGAGGCAGGAGAGAAGAGAAGGGUCCCCUCCAGGUUGGCUCCCAGGCUGCCAGACACUGAUCGGAAGGUGACAUCAGAAUAGGACGAGUGUUUCCACAUUUCUGGGUGGAACUCCUGGCUGAGGAUGUCCUCGGGGAGGGUGUCCCGGAGGGCCCGUUUCAGGGGGUCGUGCGUCUCCAGCAGCUGCAGGAUGUGACUCCACACAAAAGAACCCA